This 72-nucleotide transfer RNA is filed under the name Pseudomonadota bacterium. RNAcentral's name for it is "tRNA-Arg". It matches the Rfam family "tRNA". From Rfam's summary of the family: Transfer RNA (tRNA) molecules are approximately 80 nucleotides in length. Their secondary structure includes four short double-helical elements and three loops (D, anti-codon, and T loops). Further hydrogen bonds mediate the characteristic L-shaped molecular structure. tRNAs have two regions of fundamental functional importance: the anti-codon, which is responsible for specific mRNA codon recognition, and the 3' end, to which the tRNAs corresponding amino acid is attached (by aminoacyl-tRNA synthetases). tRNAs cope with the degeneracy of the genetic code in two manners: having more than one tRNA (with a specific anti-codon) for a particular amino acid; and 'wobble' base-pairing, i.e. permitting non-standard base-pairing at the 3rd anti-codon position. Lineage: Bacteria; Pseudomonadati; Pseudomonadota. The record is from RNAcentral. RNAcentral also lists the same sequence under 1 other name.
GACUCUAUAGCUUAAAGGAUAGAGCGUCAGUUUCCGGAACUGAAAGUGGAGGUUCGAUUCCUCCUAGAGUCA